CAGUCGCCGCGGUAAAACGAACCGUGCGAACGUUAUUCGGAAUUACUGGGCUUAAAGCGCGUGUAGGCGGGCCGCCACGUCGGUUGCUGAAAUCCCCCGGCUCAACCGGGGAAGUGGCAUCGAUACGAGCGGCCUUGAGGGGGGUAGGGGGAUCUGGAACUUCCGGUGGAGCGGUGAAAUGCGUUGAGAUCGGAAGGAACGCCCGUGGCGAAAGCGAGGUCCUGGACCCUUUCUGACGCUGAGACGCGAAAGCCAGGGGAGCGAACGGGAUUAGAUACCCCCGUAGUCCCUGUCUCUUAUA
Molecule: ribosomal RNA, 301 nt
Filed under: uncultured bacterium
Lineage: Bacteria
Description: partial 16S ribosomal RNA
Rfam family: Bacterial small subunit ribosomal RNA
Source: RNAcentral